Molecule: ribosomal RNA, 1034 nt
Filed under: Escherichia coli
Lineage: Bacteria; Pseudomonadati; Pseudomonadota; Gammaproteobacteria; Enterobacterales; Enterobacteriaceae
Description: partial 23S ribosomal RNA
Rfam family: Bacterial large subunit ribosomal RNA
Source: RNAcentral
GUGAACCAGUACCGUGAGGGAAAGGCGAAAAGAACCCCGGCGAGGGGAGUGAAAAAGAACCUGAAACCGUGUACGUACAAGCAGUGGGAGCCUCUUAAUGGGGUGACUGCGUACCUUUUGUAUAAUGGGUCAGCGACUUAUAUUCUGUAGCAAGGUUAACCGAAUAGGGGAGCCGAAGGGAAACCGAGUCUUAACUGGGCGUUAAGUUGCAGGGUAUAGACCCGAAACCCGGUGAUCUAGCCAUGGGCAGGUUGAAGGUUGGGUAACACUAACUGGAGGACCGAACCGACUAAUGUUGAAAAAUUAGCGGAUGACUUGUGGCUGGGGGUGAAAGGCCAAUCAAACCGGGAGAUAGCUGGUUCUCCCCGAAAGCUAUUUAGGUAGCGCCUCGUGAAUUCAUCUCCGGGGGUAGAGCACUGUUUCGGCAAGGGGGUCAUCCCGACUUACCAACCCGAUGCAAACUGCGAAUACCGGAGAAUGUUAUCACGGGAGACACACGGCGGGUGCUAACGUCCGUCGUGAAGAGGGAAACAACCCAGACCGCCAGCUAAGGUCCCAAAGUCAUGGUUAAGUGGGAAACGAUGUGGGAAGGCCCAGACAGCCAGGAUGUUGGCUUAGAAGCAGCCAUCAUUUAAAGAAAGCGUAAUAGCUCACUGGUCGAGUCGGCCUGCGCGGAAGAUGUAACGGGGCUAAACCAUGCACCGAAGCUGCGGCAGCGACGCUUAUGCGUUGUUGGGUAGGGGAGCGUUCUGUAAGCCUGUGAAGGUGUGCUGUGAGGCAUGCUGGAGGUAUCAGAAGUGCGAAUGCUGACAUAAGUAACGAUAAAGCGGGUGAAAAGCCCGCUCGCCGGAAGACCAAGGGUUCCUGUCCAACGUUAAUCGGGGCAGGGUGAGUCGACCCCUAAGGCGAGGCCGAAAGGCGUAGUCGAUGGGAAACAGGUUAAUAUUCCUGUACUUGGUGUUACUGCGAAGGGGGGACGGAGAAGGCUAUGUUGGCCGGGCGACGGUUGUCCCGGUUUAAGCGUGUAGGCUGAU